ACUGACAGCCAUGGUUACCGCGGCUGCUGGCACGGAGUUAGCCGGUGCUUCUUCUGUGAGUGAUGUCCUUCCUGCCGGCUAUUAACCCGCAGGCCUUCUUCCUCACUGAAAGUGCUUUACAACCCGAAGGCCUUCUUCACACACGCGGCAUGGCUGGAUCAGGGUUGCCCCCAUUGUCCAAUAUUCCCCACUGCUGCCUCCCGUAGGAGUCUGGGCCGUGUCUCAGUCCCAGUGUGGCUGAUCAUCCUCUCAGACCAGCUACGGAUCGUCGCCUUGGUGAGCCGUUACCUCACCAACCAGCUAAUCCGACAUAGGCUCAUCCGAUAGCGCGAGGCCCGAAGGUCCCCCGNUUUCCCCCGUAGGGCGUAUGCGGUAUUAGCCUGGGUUUCCCCAGGUUAUCCCCCACUACCGGGCAGAUUCCUAUGCAUUACUCACCCGUCCGCCGCUCGCACCAGGGAGCAAGCUCCCCGUGCUGCCGCUCGACUUGCAUGUGUUAGGCCUGCCGCCAGCGUUCAAU
This 517-nucleotide ribosomal RNA is filed under the name uncultured bacterium. RNAcentral's name for it is "partial 16S ribosomal RNA". The record is from RNAcentral.